GCCUGCGUUCAGUGUUGGCCAAUUACUAAUUCUUCAUGUUAAAUUAAUGGUUUUGAAAUAUAAGCCGGAAUUGGCGAGGGUAUGCUGCAUUCAUGUAUUUCUAUAGAAUAUAGUUAAAAGUGAGAAAGGCCGGCCCUAUACUCGCAGAGUAGCAAGGAAUCACCCGUAAGUUGCUUGCUGGUCAUUUCAUUUGUUAGUAAUGCUUAUUUGGUUUAUCAAAUUCGUCGACUAAAAUUAUCCAGCAGUAAGUCCACAAAGACAAACGUGGAGAGGACAAGUGGAGGAAAUAAUUCACGAGAUAUUCAUUAUAAUUGUGACAGGGAUGAUGUCAGUAUUUAUGAACAAGUAGAAAAUGAACAGUCGACGUACACUGCUCUCAAAAGGCCUUAGAGAGAGAAAGCGAUGUUCACUUAUAUUGUCAUCUGAAUGAAGUACAAAAUCAGAAGGAAACUGGAAUUUAAUGUCUUAUUUACGCAUAGUUAAUUGACAAUAAAUAAAUUUAGAAGACGUAAUUGACACUAAUAACUAUUUUUAAUUAAGGAUUGGUAAUUGCUUAUAGCUAAGGAUCUUGCGUGAUAUAUAACGGUUAAAAUUGUGUAGUACAGACAUCGCGUUUAUUUACUUGAUCUUGAGUGACUUGGAUGGCUGUAGGUUAUGUUAUUGUGUAGUGGGGUAAUGAAUAAAAUGCA
This is a non-coding RNA of Paramuricea clavata, 689 nucleotides long. Lineage: Eukaryota; Metazoa; Cnidaria; Anthozoa; Malacalcyonacea; Plexauridae. The record is from the annotation of a GenBank genome assembly.